Molecule: non-coding RNA, 72 nt
Organism: Anabaena sp. CRKS33
Lineage: Bacteria; Bacillati; Cyanobacteriota; Cyanophyceae; Nostocales; Nostocaceae
Source: Rfam
GCCGAUGUGGCUCAGGGGUAGAGCAACUGAUUCGUAAUCAGUAGGUCGUGGGUUCAAAUCCCAUCAUCGGCU